This 468-nucleotide ribosomal RNA is filed under the name uncultured bacterium. Its description in RNAcentral is "partial 16S ribosomal RNA". It matches the Rfam family "Bacterial small subunit ribosomal RNA", at positions 28 to 507 of the family's 1533-position model. The record is from RNAcentral.
GACGAACGCUGGCGGCGUGCUUAACACAUGCAAGUCGAACGGAAAGGCCCUGCUUUUGUGUGGUGCUCGAGUGGCGAACGGGUGAGUAACACGUGAGUAACCUGCCCUUGACUUUGGGAUAACUUCAGGAAACUGGGGCUAAUACCGGAUAGGAGCUCCUGCUGCAUGGUGGGGGUUGGAAAGUUUCGGCGGUUGGGGAUGGACUCGCGGCUUAUCAGCUUGUUGGUGUGGUAGUGGCUUACCAGGGCUUUGACGGGUAGCCGGCCUGAGAGGGUGACCGGCCACAGUGGGACUGAGAUACGGCCCAGACUCCUACGGGAGGCAGCAGUGGGGAAUAUUGCACAAUGGGCGGAAGCCUGAUGCAGCAACGCCGCGUGCGGGAUGACGGCCUUCGGGUUGUAAACCGCUUUCGCCUGUGACGAAGCGUGAGUGACGGUAAUGGGUAAAGAAGCACCGGCUAACUACGUG